CGGACGGGUGAGUAACGCGUGGGGAACCUACCGUAUGCAGGGGGAUAACAGUUAGAAAUGACUGCUAAUACCGCAUAAGCGCACAAAACCGCAUGGUUUGGUGUGAAAAACUGAGGUGGUAUGAGAUGGACCUGCGUCUGAUUAGCUAGUUGGAGAGGUAACGGCUCACCAAGGCAACGAUCAGUAGCCGACCUGAGAGGGUGACCGGCCACAUUGGGACUGAGACACGGCCCAAACUCCUACGGGAGGCAGCAG
This 255-nucleotide ribosomal RNA is filed under the name uncultured bacterium. RNAcentral's name for it is "partial 16S ribosomal RNA". It matches the Rfam family "Bacterial small subunit ribosomal RNA", at positions 99 to 354 of the family's 1533-position model. The record is from RNAcentral.